Non-coding RNA from Picea glauca (white spruce), 123 nucleotides. Lineage: Eukaryota; Viridiplantae; Streptophyta; Pinopsida; Pinales; Pinaceae. The record is from Rfam.
AUGUACAUACUUACAACAUAGCAUUAAUGCACUGGAUCCCAUUAGAACUCCGUAGUUAAGCGUGCUCGGGCUAGAGUAGUACUGGGAUGGGAGACCACCUAGGAAUUCCUAGUGUUUUACAUG